Molecule: ribosomal RNA, 102 nt
Filed under: Planctomycetota bacterium
Lineage: Bacteria; Pseudomonadati; Planctomycetota
Description: Planctomycetes bacterium (wastewater metagenome) partial 16S ribosomal RNA
Rfam family: Bacterial small subunit ribosomal RNA
Source: RNAcentral
AUUGCGAAGGGUUUGAUCCUGGCUCAGAACGAACGGUGGCGGUGUGCUUAUUACAUGCAAGUCGAGCGAUAAUCGGGCAACCGAGGAAAGCGGCGGAUGGGU